CAUGUCUUUUUGAGAAUAAUUUAAAGUCUAAUCUGCUCAAUGAAGAUUAAAUUGCCGCAGUAUUUUGACUGUGCAAAGGUAGCAUAAUAAUUAGCUUCUUAAUUAGAAGCUGGAAUGAAUGAUUGGACAAGAAAAUUUCUGUCUCUAUUUAAAUGUUUAUUGAAUUUUAUUUUUAAGUUAAAAAGCUUAAAUUUAUAUAAAAGACGAGAAGACCCUAUAGAGUUUAAUAUUUUUUAUUUAUUUAAUUUUAGAAUUUUUUUUGAAUUUUAAAUAUUUAAUUGGGGUGAUUUAAAGAUUUGAAUAAUUCUUUAAUUUUUUUAUUGAUGAUAAUUAAGUUUUAAAUCUAUAUUUUUAAAUUUAAUAUAAAUUACCUUAGGGAUAACAGCGUAAUUUUUCUUUAAAGCUCUUAUUAAAAGAAGAUUUUGCGACCUCGAUGUUGGAUUAAAAUUAAUUUUUGGUGCAGUAACUUAAAAAUUGGGUCUGUUCGACCUUUAAAAUUUUACAUGAUCUGAGUUUAAACCGGUGUAAGCCAGGUUGGAUUCUAUCUUUAGAUUAAUUACAUAUUUUAGUACGAAAGGACCAAAUAUUUAUUAUAAUAAUUG
RNAcentral lists this ribosomal RNA (602 nucleotides) under Lycus sp. UPOL LF0128. Its description in RNAcentral is "partial 16S large subunit ribosomal RNA". The stretch from base 378 to 536 matches the Rfam family "Bacterial large subunit ribosomal RNA", at positions 2473 to 2632 of the family's 2925-position model. The record is from RNAcentral. Lineage: Eukaryota; Metazoa; Arthropoda; Insecta; Coleoptera; Lycidae.